GGACCCCUACGGGAGGCAGCAGUAGGGAAUCCUCCACAAUGGGCGAAAGCCUGAUGGAGCAACGCCGCGUGGGUGAAGAAGGUCUUCGGAUCGUAAAACCCUGUUGUUAGAGAAGAAAGUGUGUGAGAGUAACUGUUCACGUUUCGACGGUAUCUAACCAGAAAGCCACGGCUAACUACGUGCCAGCAGCCGCGGUAAUACGUAGGUGGCAAGCGUUAUCCGGAUUUAUUGGGCGUAAAGAGAACGCAGGCGGUCUUUUAAGUCUGAUGUGAAAGCCUUCGGCUUAACCGGAGUAGUGCAUUGGG
This 305-nucleotide ribosomal RNA is filed under the name uncultured bacterium. Its description in RNAcentral is "bacterial SSU rRNA". It matches the Rfam family "Bacterial small subunit ribosomal RNA", at positions 333 to 630 of the family's 1533-position model. The record is from RNAcentral.